RNAcentral lists this ribosomal RNA (497 nucleotides) under uncultured bacterium. RNAcentral describes it as "partial 16S ribosomal RNA". It matches the Rfam family "Bacterial small subunit ribosomal RNA", at positions 28 to 507 of the family's 1533-position model. The record is from RNAcentral.
GACGAACGCUGGCGGCGUGCCUAAUACAUGCAAGUUGAGCGAUGAAGAUUGGUGCUUGCACCAAUUUGAAGAGCAGCGAACGGGUGAGUAACGCGUGGGGAAUCUGCCUUUGAGCGGGGGACAACAUUUGGAAACGAAUGCUAAUACCGCAUAACAACUUUAAACAUAAGUUUUAAGUUUGAAAGAUGCAAUUGCAUCACUCAAAGAUGAUCCCGCGUUGUAUUAGCUAGUUGGUGAGGUAAAGGCUCACCAAGGCGAUGAUACAUAGCCGACCUGAGAGGGUGAUCGGCCCCAUUGGGACUGAGACACGGCCCAAACUCCUACGGGAGGCAGCAGUAGGGAAUCUUCGGCGAUGGACGAAAGUCUGACCGAGCAACGCCGCGUGAGUGAAGAAGGUUUUCGGAUCGUAAAACUCUGUUGGUAGAGAAGAACGUUGGUGAGAGUGGAAAGCUCAUCAAGUGACGGUAACUACCCAGAAAGGGACGGCUAACUACGUG